This 391-nucleotide ribosomal RNA is filed under the name Triparma sp. Its description in RNAcentral is "partial small subunit ribosomal RNA". It matches the Rfam family "Eukaryotic small subunit ribosomal RNA", at positions 582 to 975 of the family's 1831-position model. The record is from RNAcentral. Lineage: Eukaryota; Bolidophyceae; Parmales; Triparmaceae.
AUUCCAGCUCCAAUAGCGUAUAUUAAAGUUGUUGCAGUUAAAAAGCUCGUAGUUGGAUUUCUGGUGAGUUCGUUUGGCCGGCCGUAAAGGUCUGUGCCGAAAUGUUAUUCGCCAUCCUUGGUGUAAUCUUGUCCGCCAUUAAGUUGUGUGGGCUUGAGGAUGCCAUCGUUUACUGUGAAAAAAUUAGAGUGUUCAAAGCAGGCUUAUGCCGUUGAAUACAUUAGCAUGGAAUAAUAAGAUAGGACCCUGGUACUAUUUUGUUGGUUUGCGUACCUAGGUAAUGAUUAAUAGGGACAGUUGGGGGUAUUUGUAUUCCGUUGUCAGAGGUGAAAUUCUUGGAUUUACGGAAGACAAACUACUGCGAAAGCAUUUACCAAGGAUGUUUUCAUCA